Molecule: unclassified non-coding RNA, 242 nt
Filed under: fungal sp.
Lineage: Eukaryota; Fungi
Description: partial internal transcribed spacer region
Source: RNAcentral
AAGUCGUAACAAAUCGAGCGGUAGUUCUAUAGGCAAUGUUUCUCCAAGCAGUCAGUGUCGGAAAGUGUCAUUGAUUGUGCAAGGAUAGCGCUUCUACGAUUCCUGUAGACCGUACACUCGGGCAGGAACUUUGCCAAAGGGUCCCCAUGCCCCCUAAUAACCCCACAGUUUAAUGUGAAGCUCAAUGUAAUACAUUGGGUAAAAAAACCAAACAACUGUUAACAAUGGAUAUCUUGGUUCUC